GAGUAAUGUCUGGGAAACUGCCUGAUGGAGGGGGAUAACUACUGGAAACGGUAGCUAAUACCGCAUAACGUCGCAAGACCAAAGAGGGGGACCUUCGGGCCUCUUGCCAUCGGAUGUGCCCAGAUGGGAUUAGCUAGUAGGUGGGGUAACGGCUCACCUAGGCGACGAUCCCUAGCUGGUCUGAGAGGAUGACCAGCCACACUGGAACUGAGACACGGUCCAGACUCCUACGGGAGGCAGCAGUGGGGAAUAUUGCACAAUGGGCGCAAGCCUGAUGCAGCCAUGCCGCGUGUAUGAAGAAGGCCUUCGGGUUGUAAAGUACUUUCAGCGGGGAGGAAGGGAGUAAAGUUAAUACCUUUGCUCAUUGACGUUACCCGCAGAAGAAGCACCGGCUAACUCCGUGCCAGCAGCCGCGGUAAUACGGAGGGUGCAAGCGUUAAUCGGAAUUACUGGGCGUAAAGCGCACGCAGGCGGUUUGUUAAGUCAGAUGUGAAAUCCCCGGGCUCAACCUGGGAACUGCAUCUGAUACUGGCAAGC
RNAcentral lists this ribosomal RNA (537 nucleotides) under Escherichia coli. RNAcentral's name for it is "bacterial SSU rRNA". It matches the Rfam family "Bacterial small subunit ribosomal RNA", at positions 108 to 641 of the family's 1533-position model. The record is from RNAcentral. Lineage: Bacteria; Pseudomonadati; Pseudomonadota; Gammaproteobacteria; Enterobacterales; Enterobacteriaceae.